Molecule: long non-coding RNA, 1242 nt
Organism: Oenanthe melanoleuca
Lineage: Eukaryota; Metazoa; Chordata; Aves; Passeriformes; Muscicapidae
Exons: 3
Source: RefSeq, a predicted model, not a curated record
GCGGCCCGGGAGCGGCGGGGAGCGCGGCCCGGCCCGGCCCGGCCCGCCGGACCGUGAGGCGAACGGGGGCCCGGCCGGGCUUAACCCCGCUCGGUUCGCGAGCAACGCCCCCGUCCUGCUUGCUUCUUAACCCUUCCGACCUGCAUGCUGCCCUGUGACUCUGGGAGCCUCCGCUGCGGGGGUUGUGUGCUAGCGAUCUUCGUGCUCUUCUGGGAUGUUCGUCUCCACGGCUGAAACAUUCUUACUGCAGGAGUAUUGCUCUACAUAAUCCUCCCCAUAUAUCCACAUUGAAUCCGAACACUGAGCAGCAAGCCGAAAAGACUCACGCUGGAUGGUAAGUGACAUAGAUACUUGAAGAAAUGUUGAGCUGGAAGCUCAAAGAAAGCUUCAUUAGAUAGAGUUUCUGAAGACGGCUGGUCUGAACACGUUUAGCACAGUCCAGACAAGGGAUGGACAGCUUAGAAUCAGAAUCAGAAAAGGGGCCAAAAAACUGCACUCUUGAAGUACUUUUUCGCAUUUAAUACCAUGUGAAUUUCAGUUUAGCAGUUUACUAGAAGGAAAACUGUAUAAAUAUGAAAUUUUGCAUGUCUUCAAGUGAGGUGUUUAUCAAAAAUUAAUGAGUUCCCAUUACUUACUUUAGAACCUAGAUUAAGGCAUGCUUGUAUUUAUGCCUUCAAAAUUAUUUAACUGAUCAGUGACACAUAAGAAGCAGUGCUUUGUGAAAUGAACUUUUUAAAUGCUUUUAUUUCUGUACACCAUAUGCUUUUGAAAGCUCGGUUUUGAAUAGCUUAAAAUUAAAUACUCUUAUAGGAUUGAGAGGUGGAAUCCAGUUCAGUGACUGCUCAUCAGGAAACUAAUCCAGAAAUCUUUAACUCUACCUCUAUCAUUGUGAGUAGACAGGUUUCUAUAGCAGCCAUUUGAAUUUGGAAGCAGAUAAUUGAACACCAUCCCGACAAACCCAGAAUGUUCAGGAAAACACAAUAAACAUAAACUAUUAAAAAGAUACUUGUUACAGGAUUACUAGAGAGAUUGCAAUUUCAGUUCACAAUUUCAUUUAUGACAUUACAGAAAAGAACACCUUAAAGUAAAGUGAUGGCUUUGUAUAUUCCCAGAGACUGCCCUUUGUACUUCAUAUUCUAAAUGGUGAACUGUAAAUCUAUUUAUCUGAAUAAACAGGAACACUUAAAUGAUGUUUCAUUUUUUUCAAAAAUAAAAUAAGUGCACAAUUACUUGAAAUCUCUC